This 342-nucleotide ribosomal RNA is filed under the name Triticum aestivum (bread wheat). RNAcentral's name for it is "partial small subunit ribosomal RNA". Lineage: Eukaryota; Viridiplantae; Streptophyta; Magnoliopsida; Poales; Poaceae. The record is from RNAcentral.
AUGCCGGAGGCAAAGUGUUCAGCGGCAACGGAUUUGAAGGUGGUGGCAGUAGCAGAUCGGCACGGCCAUGCGUACGAAUCUCAAGAUAGGCAGCAGCAUACGGCCAGCCGGCGGCAUCACAGUAGCUCGGCUCUGUUACAACGAGAGGAUGAGAAGGGAAGGAAUUCCGCACUACGCACGCCACCGUAUACUACCAGACACACUCAAAGAAUGUGUCCAAUUAACCUUGGAUGCCGGAGUGUCCAUCAGGGGAGGGAAGUUCGCGAGGUGCUGAAGCACAGCGCAAGGGAACCAUCUCCAUGGCCAACUCCGGCACCAAAGCGAUACACUUUUUUUGGCUAG